UGACCACUGACACCUUGCAGAAGGAGGGCAAGACACAAAAGGUCAUUGCAAAAGAGGCUGGCUGUUCACAGAGCUCUGUGUCCAAGCACAUUAAUUAACUCUAACAGCUGAGUUAGUCCAUAUAACCCAAAAUUUCAUUAAAACAAUCCAGCAUUUUUUGGAGUGUACCUAUACCGUCCCACACAUAUUACCAUAUCUACUGUCUAUUGCUUGUUUAUUAUUCAUGACAUACUUUCUUCCAGAUUAUGGCUUCCUACACCUCACCAUCAAAAUUCCCCAAAAUACACCACCCUGAGACUGAAUCAAUUCAUGACCGCCUCCAACUCAUUGCUUACAAAUGCCAAGAUCCAUCUGUCAACCCCAUCGAAACACCACAACUUUGUAAUCUAGGCACUAAUAUCAUGAAAAUCAUGUCACACUGUGACAACCAAAACAAGGCUCUCCAGCAAUGUGUCACUACACUUCGUUCAGAACUACAAGACAUGAAAAAAAAAACUCUCAGAAGCUCUAACUUCUGCAGAAAUCAACACUGCUACCCAAUACUUUUUCAAAGAUGAACAAUGUGACAUGUCCUCACAGACGGAGCAUGUCCCUUCAACAUUACCUGAACACUUACCUGAGAAUAACAACUAUCAAGAAAUACAAGCUGCAACAAAGUCUUCUCCAAAACCAACCAAAGAUCUACAGAAUGCUUAACAUUCAUUAUAUUGUGACCACACUUUUUAUGCUGCACUGUUUUUUUACUUUUAAAAACUACAAAUU
This is a long non-coding RNA of Cyprinus carpio (common carp), 762 nucleotides long. RefSeq lists it as uncharacterized. Lineage: Eukaryota; Metazoa; Chordata; Actinopteri; Cypriniformes; Cyprinidae. The record is from RefSeq and is a predicted model, not a curated record.